UACGUAGGGGGCAAGCAUUGUCCGGAAUCAUUGGGCGUAAAGAGCGCGUAGGCGGCCCAGUCAGUCCGCUCUGAAAGUCGGGGGCUCAACCCUCGGAUGCCGGUGGAUACUGUCGGGCUUGAGUACGGAAGAGGCGAGUGGAAUUCCUGGUGUAGCGGUGAAAUGCGCAGAUAUCAGGAGGAACACCAAUUGCGAAGGCAGCUCGCUGGGACGUUACUGACGCUGAGACGCGAAAGCGUGGGGAGCAAACAGG
Molecule: ribosomal RNA, 253 nt
Filed under: uncultured bacterium
Lineage: Bacteria
Description: partial 16S ribosomal RNA
Rfam family: Bacterial small subunit ribosomal RNA
Source: RNAcentral